AUUGAACGCUGGCGGGAGGCCUAACACAUGCAAGUCGAACGAGUGGCGGACGGGUGAGUAAUAUAUCGGAACCUGCCCAAUGGAGGGGGAUAACUACUGGAAACAGUAGCUAAUACCGCAUACCAUCAGAUGGGCCCAUAUGGGAUUAGCUUGUUGGUGGGGUAAAGGCUCACCAAGGCGACGAUCCCUAGCUGGUCUGAGAGGAUGACCAGCCACACUGGAACUGAGACACGGUCCAGACUCCUACGGGAGGCAGCAGUGGGGAAUAUUGCACAAUGGGCGAAAGCCUGAUGCAGCCAUGCCGCGUGUAUGAAGAAGGCCUUCGGGUUGUAAAGUACUUUCAGCGGGGAGGCGUUACCCGCAGAAGAAGCACCGGCUAACUCCGUGCCAGCAGCCGCGGUAAUAC
This 406-nucleotide ribosomal RNA is filed under the name uncultured bacterium. RNAcentral's name for it is "partial 16S ribosomal RNA". It matches the Rfam family "Bacterial small subunit ribosomal RNA", at positions 30 to 526 of the family's 1533-position model. The record is from RNAcentral.